This 122-nucleotide ribosomal RNA is filed under the name Geobacter sp. enrichment culture. RNAcentral describes it as "partial 16S ribosomal RNA". It matches the Rfam family "Bacterial small subunit ribosomal RNA", at positions 373 to 486 of the family's 1533-position model. Lineage: Bacteria; Pseudomonadati; Thermodesulfobacteriota; Desulfuromonadia; Geobacterales; Geobacteraceae. The record is from RNAcentral.
GGGCGAAGCCCUGACGCAGCAACGCCGCGUGAGUGAUGAAGGCUUUCGGGUCGUAAAGCUCUGUCAGAGGGAAAGAAGUGUAUUGUGGCUAAUAUCCUCCAUACUUGACGGUACCCCCAAAG